Molecule: ribosomal RNA, 1499 nt
Filed under: metagenome
Description: bacterial SSU rRNA
Rfam family: Bacterial small subunit ribosomal RNA
Source: RNAcentral
GUUUGAUUCUGGCUCAGAAUGAACGCUGGCGGCGUGCUUAACACAUGCAAGUCGAACGAGAAAGUUCCUUCGGGAACAAGUAGAGUGGCGAACGGGUGAGUAACGCGUGAGAAUCUUCCCUACAGUGAAGAAUACCCUCGAGAAAUCGAGGUUAAUACUGCAUAACUCCAGGGAAACCUGGAAAAAGGUGGCCUCUUUGCUACCGCUGAAGGAUGAGCUUGCGUGCUAUUAGCUAGUUGGUGGGGUAAAGGCCUACCAAGGCGAAGAUGGCUAGCCGGCCUGAGAGGGUGUACGGCCACACUGGGACUGAGAUACGGCCCAGACUCCUACGGGAGGCAGCAGUGGGGAAUAUUGCACAAUGGGCGAAAGCCUGAUGCAGCGACGCCGCGUGGAGGAUGACGGUUUUCGGAUUGUAAACUCCUGUUAAGUGGGAAGAAAUGGCAGGACCUAAUACGUUCUGCAGCUGACGGUACCACUAGAGAAAGCACCGGCAAACUUCGUGCCAGCAGCCGCGGUAAUACGAGGGGUGCUAGCGUUAUUCGGAUUUACUGGGCGUAAAGGGCGCGUAGGCGGUCCGUUAAGUCAAUUGUUAAAUUCCCUGGCUCAACCAGGGAUCAGCGAUUGAAACUGAUAGACUAGAGGGCAAGAGAGAGAAGUGGAAUUCUCGGAGUAGCGGUAAAAUGCGUAGAUCUCGAGAGGAACACCAGUGGCGAAGGCGGCUUCUUGGCUUGUACCUGACGCUGAGGCGCGAAAGCGUGGGGAGCAAACAGGAUUAGAUACCCUGGUAGUCCACGCUGUAAACGAUGAUCACUAGGUGUUGUCCUUGCUUGCAAGGGCAGUGUCGUAGCUAACGCGUUAAGUGAUCCGCCUGGGGAGUACGGUCGCAAGAUUAAAACUCAAAGAAAUUGACGGGGGUCCGCACAAGCGGUGGAACAUGUGGUUUAAUUCGUAACUACGCGAGGAACCUUACCUAGGCUUGACAUGUAUUCGCUACCAGUGGAAACAUUGGGUUCCGUGCUUCGGUACGGACGUUUACACAGGUGCUGCAUGGCUGUCGUCAGCUCGUGUCGUGAGAUGUUGGGUUAAGUCCUUUAACGAGCGCAACCCUUGCCGCCAGUUGCUACUUCUUCGGAAGGCACUCUGGUGGGACUGCCUAGGAAACUAGGAGGAAGGUGGGGAUGACGUCAAGUCCUCAUGGCCCUUAUGCCUAGGGCUACACACGUGUUACAAUGGCCAGUACAGAGGGGCGCAAGACCGCGAGGUGGAGCAAAUCCCAGAAAGCUGGUCUAAGUUCGGAUUGAAGUCUGCAAUUCGACUUCAUGAAGUUGAAAUCGCUAGUAAUCGCGUAUCAGAACGACGCGGUGAAUACGUUCUCGGACCUUGUACACACCGCCCGUCACACCAUGAAAGUUUUCCGCGCCCGAAAUUGUUUUAGCUGACCGAAAGGGGGCGAGCAAUGAAGGCGAGGGAGAUGAUUGGGGUGAAGUCGUAACAAGGUA